UGCGUAGGUGGCAGUGCAAGUCAGAUGUGAAAGGCCGGGGCUCAACCCCGGAGCUGCAUUUGAAACUGCGCGGCUAGAGUACAGGAGAGGCAGGCGGAAUCCCUAGUGUAGCGGUGAAAUGCGUAGAUAUUAGGAGGAACACCAGUGGCGAAGGCGGCCUGCUGGACUGUUACUGACGCUGAGGAGCGAAAGCGUGGGGAGCGAACA
RNAcentral lists this ribosomal RNA (207 nucleotides) under uncultured bacterium. Its description in RNAcentral is "partial 16S ribosomal RNA". It matches the Rfam family "Bacterial small subunit ribosomal RNA", at positions 568 to 774 of the family's 1533-position model. The record is from RNAcentral.